Molecule: ribosomal RNA, 253 nt
Filed under: uncultured bacterium
Lineage: Bacteria
Description: partial 16S ribosomal RNA
Rfam family: Bacterial small subunit ribosomal RNA
Source: RNAcentral
UACGGGGGGGGCAAGCGUUGUUCGGAAUUACUGGGCGUAAAGGGCUCGUAGGUGGCCAACUAAGUCAGACGUGAAAUCCCUCGGCUUAACCGGGGAACUGCAUCUGAUACUGGAUGGCUUGAGAUUGGGAGAGGGAUGCGGAAUUCCAGGUGUAGCGGUGAAAUGCGUAGAUAUCUGGAGGAACACCGGUGGCGAAGGCGGGUCUCUGGGCCGAUACUGACGCUGAGGAGCGAAAGCGUGGGGAGCGAACAGG